UAGGUUAACGAGGCGAACCGGGGGAACUGAAACAUCUAAGUACCCCGAGGAAAAGAAAUCAACCGAGAUUCCCCCAGUAGCGGCGAGCGAACGGGGAGCAGCCCAGAGUCUGAAUCAGCUUGUGUGUUAGUGGAACGGUCUGGAAAGUCCGACGGUACAGGGUGAUAGUCCCGUACACCAAAAUGCACAGGUUGUGAACUCGAAGAGUAGGGCGGGACACGUGGUAUCCUGUCUGAAUAUGGGGGGACCAUCCUCCAAGGCUAAAUACUCCUGACUGACCGAUAGUGAACCAGUACCGUGAGGGAAAGGCGAAAAGAACCCCGGCGAGGGGAGUGAAAAAGAACCUGAAACCGUGUACGUACAAGCAGUGGGAGCACCUUCGGGUGUGACUGCGUACCUUUUGUAUAAUGGGUCAGCGACUUAUAUUCUGUAGCAAGGUUAACCGUAUAGGGGAGCCGCAGGGAAACCGAGUCUUAACUGGGCGUUAAGUUGCAGGGUAUAGACCCGAAACCCGGUGAUCUAGCCAUGGGCAGGUUGAAGGUUGGGUAACACUAACUGGAGGACCGAACCGACUAAUGUUGAAAAAUUAGCGGAUGACUUGUGGCUGGGGGUGAAAGGCCAAUCAAACCGGGAGAUAGCUGGUUCUCCCCGAAAGCUAUUUAGGUAGCGCCUCGUGAACUCAUCUUCGGGGGUAGAGCACUGUUUCGGCUAGGGGGUCAUCCCGACUUACCAACCCGAUGCAAACUACGAAUACCGAAGAAUGUUAUCACGGGAGACACACGGCGGGUGCUAACGUCCGUCGUGAAGAGGGAAACAACCCAGACCGCCAGCUAAGGUCCCAAAGUCAUGGUUAAGUGGGAAACGAUGUGGGAAGGCACAGACAGCCAGGAUGUUGGCUUAGAAGCAGCCAUCAUUUAAAGAAAGCGUAAUAGCUCACUGGUCGAGUCGGCCUGCGCGGAAGAUGUAACGGGGCUAAACCAUGCACCGAAGCUGCGGCAGCGACACUAUGUGUUGUUGGGUAGGGGAGCGUUCUGUAAGCCUGCGAAGGUGUGCUGUGAGGCAUGCUGGAGGUAUCAGAAGUGCGAAUGCUGACAUAAGUAACGAUAAAGCGGGUGAAAAGCCCGCUCGCCGGAAGACCAAGGGUUCCUGUCCAACGUUAAUCGGGGCAGGGUGAGUCGACCCCUAAGGCGAGGCCGAAAGGCGUAGUCGAUGGGAAACAGGUUAAUAUUCCUGUACUUGGUGUUACUGCGAAGGGGGGACGGAGAAGGCUAUGUUAGCCGGGCGACGGUUGUCCCGGUUUAAGCAUGUAGGCUGGUUGUCCAGGCAAAUCCGGAUAAUCAAGGCUGAGGUGUGAUGACGAGGCACUACGGUGCUGAAGUAACAAAUGCCCUGCUUCCAGGAAAAGCCUCUAAGCAUCAGGUAACAUCAAAUCGUACCCCAAACCGACACAGGUGGUCAGGUAGAGAAUACCAAGGCGCUUGAGAGAACUCGGGUGAAGGAACUAGGCAAAAUGGUGCCGUAACUUCGGGAGAAGG
Molecule: ribosomal RNA, 1535 nt
Filed under: Klebsiella pneumoniae subsp. pneumoniae
Lineage: Bacteria; Pseudomonadati; Pseudomonadota; Gammaproteobacteria; Enterobacterales; Enterobacteriaceae
Description: partial 23S ribosomal RNA
Rfam family: Bacterial large subunit ribosomal RNA
Source: RNAcentral